AGCUCCAAUAGCGUAUAUUAAAGUUGUUGCAGUUAAAAAGCUCGUAGUUGGAUUUCGGGAUGGCCCGGCCGGUCUGCCGCAAGGUAUGUUACUGGCCGAGCUGUUCUUCCUCGCAAAGACUGUGUGUGCUCUUAACUGAGUGUGCUCAGGAUCUGCGACGUUUACUUUGAAAAAAUUAGAGUGUUCAAAGCAAGCCAGCGCUUGAAUACAUAAGCAUGGAAUAAUGGAAUAGGACUUUGGUUCUAUUUUGUUGGUUUCUGGAACCGAAGUAAUGAUUAAGAGAGACAGUUGGGGGCAUUCGUAUUUCGUUGUCAGAGGUGAAAUUCUUGGAUUUACGAAAGACGAACUACUGCGAAAGCAUUUGCCAAGAAUGUUUUCAUUAAUCAAGAACGAAAGUAGG
RNAcentral lists this ribosomal RNA (400 nucleotides) under phytoplankton environmental sample. RNAcentral's name for it is "partial small subunit ribosomal RNA". It matches the Rfam family "Eukaryotic small subunit ribosomal RNA", at positions 587 to 993 of the family's 1831-position model. The record is from RNAcentral.